This is a non-coding RNA of Agrococcus casei LMG 22410, 135 nucleotides long. Lineage: Bacteria; Bacillati; Actinomycetota; Actinomycetes; Micrococcales; Microbacteriaceae. The record is from Rfam.
UGCGUCUUUCUUCGGGGCGGAGCUCGACCGCCAACACAAGAUGUAGUUCGAUUCAUCAACCAGAACAAGAAUGAUGUGGUUGCUGGUCGCAGGCUCGGGGUCGAGCGCAUCUGCAAAGUAUUGCAGGUGGCCCCG